RNAcentral lists this ribosomal RNA (301 nucleotides) under uncultured bacterium. RNAcentral describes it as "partial 16S ribosomal RNA". It matches the Rfam family "Bacterial small subunit ribosomal RNA", at positions 509 to 807 of the family's 1533-position model. The record is from RNAcentral.
CAGCAGCCGCGGUAAUACGUAGGGGGCAAGCGUUAUCCGGAAUUACUGGGUGUAAAGGGAGCGUAGACGGUUAAACAAGUCUGAAGUGAAAUGCCGGGGCUCAACCCCGGAGCUGCUUUGGGAACUGUAGAACUGGAGUGUCGGAGGGGUAAGCGGAAUUCCCAGUGUAGCGGUGAAAUGCGUAGAUAUUGGGAGGAACACCGGCGGCGAAGGCGGCUUACUGGACGACAACUGACGUUGAGGCUCGAAGGCGUGGGUAGCAAACUGGAUUAGAUACCCGGGUAGUCCCUGUCUCUUAUAC